UGUAGAUGUGGGGAGUGGGUUGUUACACAGAAAUGGUCUGAUUGUCUUUGAGAAACGACUGUGCAAAACACAGUUGCCAAAUCAUCUUUGGUGGGCCGGUGCUGAAAGACAGGGUCAGUCAGAGCUCCCUCAGAAGGGAAAGGUAGGAGCAACUCAAUGCAAUCUGUAAGAGUAAGCUGAGGAAGGGGAUCUCGCUACAUGUGUGUAUGAUAAAUCAAUGAGGUCAGGUAGAACGGUGCCCUUGAAAUGCAUUUGAAUGCAUUUCUCCAUAGUAUCCAAAACACAGAAGGGGGAAUCACCACCGAGUUGAGAAUAAGCUGAGGAGAACCCAACAGAUCAUUGCUGUUCAGCUGAAAAUACUAUCAGAAUUUGGUGAUAUCUGAUUGAAAGCUUCGCAGGGGUAGAAAGUAGCUCAGGUGUUGGAAGGCAUCUCAAGGAGUUUGAAAUGUCAGUAGUGCAGUGUAAUCAGAGAGUCUGCCAAGUCGCUUGCUCCUUCUCACAUGGGGCAAGUUCAAAGCUGAAGUGCAAGAAGCUGCCAGAAACUGUGCUAACAAAGCAGGUAUCAGCUCCAAAGAUGGUUUGAAAUCGCACUUGAGAAGAGCCACGAAACACAGCAGUGCUGGUGCUCUUGGACGUUGCCCAGCUUCUGCAGUCUGUCUCAAUUAAACCAAGGAAAAAGACAGUACAACUACUGAAAAGUAUUUCACGUUUUGGAAGCAAGGAGGGUGUUCAUUAAAUAGCAGAAGUCAGGGUGCACUGACCUCUUGUAACAGCCUCGUCUGAAGAAGCGUGUAGCUUAUCCAAAGAAACUUCACUGGUGUUUUAAAACUCUGCAGGCAGAUGAAGAAAUUGGAAAUUCACAUCCUCGGAAAGCAAUAACUUUAUGGAACUGUCUGUUAAACUUCACUUCUCUGCUAACAAAUGGAUUACAAAGAGAGGGAGAGCUGGGAGACAAUGGUUUUAUUAUACCUGAGGAAUGCUGUAAGAUUUAUGCCAGAGUAAUAGGAGGUGUGGGAUAACAGGCAAUAUAAGGAAAGGUGUCUCUGGCUGUUGCAAAACAUUUUCUGAUGCUGAUUUAUAUGUGAAGUGUUUGAUGAGUGCUUGAUAUGCUGUGAUUUUCAGAAGCAAAGAAUGAGAUUAAGGGGAAAUAGAUACAUGUCUGAAAGGAAGACAAAGCAAAAUAAAUCCAAACCUAGUUACUGGGUAUAGUAACGGGCCAACAAUGUCUAGAAUCCUUAAGAUGUUCAUCCAUAUCAGAUCUACUAUCUAUGUAAAGUGCCUGUUGAUGGUCCAUAUGGACCAUGAAUCACAGAAAAAGCACAGCCUUGAUAUCCUGAGAGGCCCAGGGAGAGAUUGAAAAGUUCGUGAAGGCAGAUUUUCAACAAAAGUCAAACAGAGUGAGUUGACGUCAGUAGCAAGCUAUGUUCCAGUGGGGGCUGGCUGAAGCUAUCUUGGCACAGAGCAAGCUGUCCGUUAAGAGGACACAGCAUCUGAGUGUUGUGCUGGCCAAAAUGCAGGGUAAGGUACUCCAAGAAGCCCUGACACAUGGCUUCUGCUGAUUCGCUGUGUUGGAAAGAUGCAGCUGGGCUUGAUGACGAUGAUACAGCCAUGCCUAGAGGAGAGCUGAUAGGAGUACCAGAGACAGUUUACGCCAUACGAUUGCAUUAAAAAUUUCCCCAGCUGAAAUUUCAAGCCCUUCCAAACAGGCAUGCCUCAAAGGAAAACUGGAGAUUGGAAAACGUAAUGUAAAAUAUAAGCAAGUUUUACACAGUAUCAUCAUUUUAAAGGAUGUCAACAGUAAUUUACUGUGGGGAUGAAAGACAGAUGUUUAAUGAAACAGUCAGUGAAAAAGAAUGACUCUUGGAAGAGUGGAUAAAACAACGGCAAGAAUGGCAGGUCCUAUUGAUAGAUGGUUUCUAUCAAUAAACAGAUCUGUUUCAAGUGAGCUACAUGGCAGAUGGCAGCAGAGGGGCAGUCUGACAGAAUGGAGUCUGACAUGGAAGUGCAUGUGAAGGAAAGGUGUGUCACUGAAUUUCUCUGGGCAGAAAACAUGGCACCCACUGAUAUUCAUAGAUGCUUGUUGAGUGUUUUUGGAGGCCAACCAGUAGAUGUGAGUACAGUGAGGUUGUGGAUGAUGCAUCACAGCAGUGGGGACAGCAACAGUGGGUCAAAUAAAAUGGUAGGAAAAAAUUGAAUCAACAUCUGUGGGUUUUUUUGUUUAGUGAAAGAAAAUGGAAUAAAGGUUAUCUGU
Gallus gallus (chicken) is the source of this 2251-nucleotide long non-coding RNA. The record is from Ensembl. Lineage: Eukaryota; Metazoa; Chordata; Aves; Galliformes; Phasianidae.